GACGAACGCUGGCGGCGUGCUUAACACAUGCAAGUCGUACGGUAAGGCCCUUUCGGGGGUACACGAGUGGCGAACGGGUGAGUAACACGUGAGUAACCUGCCCACAACUUUGGGAUAACGCUAGGAAACUGGUGCUAAUACUGGAUAUGUGCUCCUGCUGCAUGGUGGGGGUUGGAAAGCUCCGGCGGUUGUGGAUGGACUCGCGGCCUAUCAGCUUGUUGGUGGGGUAGUGGCCUACCGAGGCGGCGACGGGUAGCCGGCCUGGGAGGGUGACCGGCCACAUUGGGACUGAGAUACGGCCCAGACUCCUACGGGGGGCAGCAGUGGGGAAUAUUGCACAAUGGGCGCAAGCCUGAUGCAGCAACGCCGCGUGCGGGAUGACGGCCUUCGGGUUGUAAACCGCUUUCAGCAGGGACGAAGCUUUUUGUGACGGUACCUGCAGAAGAAGCACCGGCUAACUACGUG
This 465-nucleotide ribosomal RNA is filed under the name uncultured bacterium. Its description in RNAcentral is "partial 16S ribosomal RNA". It matches the Rfam family "Bacterial small subunit ribosomal RNA", at positions 28 to 507 of the family's 1533-position model. The record is from RNAcentral.